GUGGCUGUAGCUCAGUUGGUUAGAGUCCUGGAUUGUGAUUCCAGUUGUCGUGGGUUCGAGUCCCAUCAGCCACCCCA
RNAcentral lists this transfer RNA (77 nucleotides) under Stenotrophomonas nitritireducens. RNAcentral describes it as "tRNA-His". It matches the Rfam family "tRNA". Rfam says of the family: Transfer RNA (tRNA) molecules are approximately 80 nucleotides in length. Their secondary structure includes four short double-helical elements and three loops (D, anti-codon, and T loops). RNAcentral also lists the same sequence under 9 other names. The record is from RNAcentral. Lineage: Bacteria; Pseudomonadati; Pseudomonadota; Gammaproteobacteria; Lysobacterales; Lysobacteraceae.